Molecule: ribosomal RNA, 440 nt
Filed under: uncultured bacterium
Lineage: Bacteria
Description: partial 16S ribosomal RNA
Rfam family: Bacterial small subunit ribosomal RNA
Source: RNAcentral
CCUACGGGCGUCUGCAGUGGGGAAUAUUGCACAAUGGGGGAAACCCUGAUGCAGCGACGCCGCGUGAGUGAAGAAGUAAUUCGUUAUGUAAAGCUCUAUCAGCAGGGAAGAAAAUGACGGUACCUGAGUAAGAAGCCCCGGCUAACUACGUGCCAGCAGCCGCGGUAAUAAGUAGGUGGCAAGCGUUAACCGGAUUUACUGGGUGUAAAGGGAGCGUAGACGGCAGUGCAAGUCUGGAGUGAAAGGCGGGGGCUCAACCCCCGGACUGCUCUGGAAACUGUACGGCUGGAGUGCAGGAGAGGUAAGUGGAAUUCCUAGUGUAGCGGUGAAAUGCGUAGAUAUUAGGAGGAACACCAGUGGCGAAGGCGGCUUACUGGACUGUAACUGACGUUGAGGCUCGAAAGCGUGGGGAGCAAACAGGAUUAGAUACCCGUGUAGUC